CGGUUAAUGAUUAUCUCCCUUAUUUCGAAAAACACGCCAAAACCAAAACAACCAGAUAAUUUGAUGUUAUCUUGGUACCUAACAUGAUAUAGUACAUCCCAAUGAUUUGUUUUAUGAUCAGUAGAGAAUAAAAUCAACACACACGCCAGUGGAUGCCAAGACCAAACAAAUUAUGCUGCAAAACUACACAAAAGUAACUAACUACAAACAGGAAAAAAAAAGCUGCAGAUUGUACAGACACAGAAAGAC
Mytilus trossulus (common blue mussel) is the source of this 249-nucleotide long non-coding RNA. RefSeq lists it as uncharacterized. The record is from RefSeq and is a predicted model, not a curated record. NCBI's taxonomy places the organism in Eukaryota, Metazoa, Mollusca, Bivalvia, Mytilida, Mytilidae. The transcript is spliced from 3 exons.